Zootermopsis nevadensis is the source of this 586-nucleotide long non-coding RNA. RefSeq lists it as uncharacterized. The record is from RefSeq and is a predicted model, not a curated record. NCBI's taxonomy places the organism in Eukaryota, Metazoa, Arthropoda, Insecta, Blattodea, Termopsidae.
UAAUCUGCGCCGCCAGUGUGGAGAUGGUAGACAUGACAGCAUAGGGACUUGAUAACAAACCGGUUUCAACUGACAUGUCGCGUGGUUGAUAUCGACAUGGACAUGCAAGUAGCCAUUCCAAAACACGCAAAAUAUAUAAAGCGAGAUUACGACAGCCCAUAACUUUAUUUCCGUAGCCAGUUCACAGCAAGUGGAAGUCACACAUAAUAUCUGGAAGACAUCAUGAAGGCAAUUUUGGUGGCUUUAUUAGUCCUGGUGUACGUAUACACCGCUGCAAGCAUAGAUAUUCCGAUCUUUUGUAGAUUUCUGUGUGUGCCAUUCUUCUGUACUGUUCAUGACGCCAGCGACUGCACUGAUGAUCAAAUAUAUGAGCCUAAAAGUACCGGUUUCUGCAACUGCUGUGGACAGUGUGUCAACAAUAUUACCGAAUUUUAAUGCUAACACAAAUGAAGUUGCCAUGGGACACUGCAUCUCCCAUGAAAUGUUUUCUGUCAGUUCCAGUGGACAUCAUACUUGCUUAAAUGACAUGAGUGUAUUGUAAACAUUAUUAAAUUAAAAUGUAAUAAAGUUGAUGUGAACAAUCUGA